GUCUCUUCGGGGACAUCCGAUAAAAAUGGAAGAAGAUUUGUAUGGCCGCUGCGCAAGGAUGACACGCACAAAUCGAGAAAUGGUUCAAAUUUUU
This 94-nucleotide small nuclear RNA is filed under the name Aegilops tauschii subsp. strangulata. Lineage: Eukaryota; Viridiplantae; Streptophyta; Magnoliopsida; Poales; Poaceae. The record is from RNAcentral.